This 230-nucleotide ribosomal RNA is filed under the name Klebsiella pneumoniae. RNAcentral's name for it is "partial 23S ribosomal RNA". It matches the Rfam family "Bacterial large subunit ribosomal RNA", at positions 1 to 222 of the family's 2925-position model. RNAcentral also lists the same sequence under 1 other name. Lineage: Bacteria; Pseudomonadati; Pseudomonadota; Gammaproteobacteria; Enterobacterales; Enterobacteriaceae. The record is from RNAcentral.
GGGUUGUGAGGUUAAGCGACUAAGCGUACACGGUGGAUGCCCUGGCAGUCAGAGGCGAUGAAGGACGUGCUAAUCUGCGAAAAGCGUCGGUAAGGUGAUAUGAACCGUUAUAGCCGGCGAUGUCCGAAUGGGGAAACCCAGUGUGAUUCGUCACACUAUCGUUAACUGAAUACAUAGGUUAACGAGGCGAACCGGGGGAACUGAAACAUCUAAGUACCCCGAGGAAAAGA